AUUUCAACCCGGUGCCGCCGAAUACUAGGAUUAUUUAUACUGCUCUGCUUCCACCGACGUUUGCCUAUUGAUCGAUUUUAAAGGCAGCCAUUGUAGGAUUUUCUAAAUCCCGGCGAAAGAGAAAUCUAUUGAUACUUUUGUAAUCCGUCCUUAAACAGUGAUUAUUGGUGAUAUACCAGUUACUAGUUAUAUAUAUCCUCAGCUGAACGAACCACGUUGUUUGGUUCGUUCAGAAGCAAGAAGGCAACUUAAUGUGUUGUGACAUA
Eurytemora carolleeae is the source of this 266-nucleotide long non-coding RNA. RefSeq lists it as uncharacterized. NCBI's taxonomy places the organism in Eukaryota, Metazoa, Arthropoda, Copepoda, Calanoida, Temoridae. The record is from RefSeq and is a predicted model, not a curated record. The transcript has 2 exons.